GUGGAACAGAAGCCCCGCCCACCACGUUAGCCGCUCGUGCUGGGCGCCAUUUUAGUUUCUCUCCGAGAGAUUCACGAGACGAGCAGCGGAAUAAAGAUACAAAUGCAUCUUUUGUUGUUUAUUUCUUCGGAUUUUGGUCAGGUUUUUCUCCAGAGCGUGAAGUUCGUUUAGUUCAACGAGUUUCGUGAUGGCGAGUCAACCCUCGAGAGACUCGACUGAGUGAACUUCUCCUCAGAACGGCUGAAUCCUCUUUAAAAGAGCCGUCUGACUGUUGUUUGUUGAGGACCAGCCACUUGAGGGCACUGCAGAGCACAUUGUCCUCCAUCACAACAAGAUCCCUGGCCAUGAAGAAGACUUUGGCCACGUAUGC
Long non-coding RNA from Puntigrus tetrazona (Sumatra barb), 370 nucleotides. RefSeq lists it as uncharacterized. The transcript is spliced from 3 exons. NCBI's taxonomy places the organism in Eukaryota, Metazoa, Chordata, Actinopteri, Cypriniformes, Cyprinidae. The record is from RefSeq and is a predicted model, not a curated record.